Molecule: ribosomal RNA, 624 nt
Filed under: Anatololacerta sp. CI-2014a
Lineage: Eukaryota; Metazoa; Chordata; Lepidosauria; Squamata; Lacertidae
Also listed under: 1 other name
Description: partial 16S ribosomal RNA
Source: RNAcentral
GGAAGACCUAAAAAUAGUGGCAAAAAGCCAACCGAGCUUGGUGAUAGCUGGUUACUCAACAAAUGAACCUUAGUUCAACUUUAGGUGCCCAUGGGCCAACUACUUUAACCCACCACCCUUUAACCUAAAGAAAUUCAAUGGGGGUACAGCCCCAUUGAACCGGAAUACAACCCGAAUUGAGAGACACCUAUUAAACUUUAACCCUAACAGUAGGCCCCAAAGCAGCCACCAACUAAACGCGUUACAGCUACAACAAAACAAUUUUUACAAUAAUAUACACCUCCUAAUAUACCACGAGUUAUUCUAUUUUCUAAUAGAAACACCAAUGCUAAAAUUAGUAAUAAGAAACCCUAAUUUCUCUCCGCACCCCCUUAAAUCAGAAUAGAAAAACUACUGAUAAUUAACACAACACGACCUACAACAACUAGCUAACAUGUCAACUAAAAUCUGUUACCCCAACACAGGAGUGCAAAAAAGAAAGGCAAAAAGCCAUAAAAGGAACUCGGCAAACCCUACCGUCCCAACUGUUUACCAAAAACAUAGCCUUUAGCUCAACAAGUAUUAAAGGUCCCGCCUGCCCAGUGACUCUUUAAACGGCCGCGGUAUCCUAACCGUGCAAAGGUA